RNAcentral lists this ribosomal RNA (428 nucleotides) under uncultured bacterium. Its description in RNAcentral is "bacterial SSU rRNA". It matches the Rfam family "Bacterial small subunit ribosomal RNA", at positions 78 to 518 of the family's 1533-position model. The record is from RNAcentral.
GAAGAUGCAUGUUCGUAGCGGCGGACGGGUGAGUAACGCGUGAGCAACCUGUCCCUUACAGGGGGAUAACACAGCGAAAGUUGUACUAAUACCGCAUAAGACCACGGGAGGACAUCCUUCAGGGGUCAAAGGAGGAAUCCGGUAAGGGGUGGGGCUCGCGUCCGAUUAGAUAGUUGGUGAGGUAACGGCCCACCAAGUCGACGAUCGGUAGCCGACCUGAGAGGGUGAUCGGCCACAUUGGGACUGAGACACGGCCCAAACUCCUACGGGAGGCAGCAGUGGGGAAUAUUGGGCAAUGGGGGGAAACCCUGACCCAGCAACGCCGCGUGAGGGAAGAAGGUUUUCGGAUCGUAAACCUCUGUCCUUGGUGAAGAGGAAGAGACGGUAGCCAAGGAGGAAGCCCCGGCUAACUACGUGCCAGCCGCCGC